This 75-nucleotide transfer RNA is filed under the name Clostridiales bacterium. RNAcentral describes it as "tRNA-Glu". It matches the Rfam family "tRNA". From Rfam's summary of the family: Transfer RNA (tRNA) molecules are approximately 80 nucleotides in length. Their secondary structure includes four short double-helical elements and three loops (D, anti-codon, and T loops). Further hydrogen bonds mediate the characteristic L-shaped molecular structure. tRNAs have two regions of fundamental functional importance: the anti-codon, which is responsible for specific mRNA codon recognition, and the 3' end, to which the tRNAs corresponding amino acid is attached (by aminoacyl-tRNA synthetases). tRNAs cope with the degeneracy of the genetic code in two manners: having more than one tRNA (with a specific anti-codon) for a particular amino acid; and 'wobble' base-pairing, i.e. permitting non-standard base-pairing at the 3rd anti-codon position. Lineage: Bacteria; Bacillati; Bacillota; Clostridia; Eubacteriales. The record is from RNAcentral. RNAcentral also lists the same sequence under 1 other name.
GGCCCCAUGGUCUAAAGGUUAGGACAUCACCCUUUCACGGUGGUAAUAUGGGUUCGAAUCCCGUUGGGGUCACCA